UUUAAUUCGAUGAUACGCGAGGAACCUUACCCGGGCUUGAAUUGCAAAUGAACGGCGUGGAGACAUGCCGGCCGCAAGGCAUUUGUGAAGGUGCUGCAUGGUUGUCGUCAGCUCGUGCCGUGAGGUGUCGGCUUAAGUGCCAUAACGAGCGCAACCCUUACCGAUAGUUACCAUCAGGUGGUGCUGGGGACUCUGUCGGGACUGCCGUCGUAAGAUGCGAGGAAGGCGGGGAUGACGUCAAAUCAGCACGGCCCUUACGUCCGGGGCUACACACGUGUUACAAUGGGGGGUACAGAAGGCAGCUACACGGCGACGUGAGGCUAAUCCCUAAAUCCUCUCUCAGUUCGGAUUGGAGUCUGCAACCCGACUCCAUGAAGCUGGAUUCGCUAGUAAUCGCGCAUCAGCCACGGCG
RNAcentral lists this ribosomal RNA (412 nucleotides) under uncultured bacterium. Its description in RNAcentral is "bacterial SSU rRNA". It matches the Rfam family "Bacterial small subunit ribosomal RNA", at positions 945 to 1359 of the family's 1533-position model. The record is from RNAcentral.